Molecule: ribosomal RNA, 440 nt
Filed under: Baeomyces rufus
Lineage: Eukaryota; Fungi; Ascomycota; Lecanoromycetes; Baeomycetales; Baeomycetaceae
Description: eukaryotic LSU rRNA
Rfam family: Eukaryotic large subunit ribosomal RNA
Source: RNAcentral
CUAAGUUCCUUGGAACAGGACGUCAUAGAGGGUGAGAAUCCCGUAUGCGACUGGUGGUCAACCCCAUGUGAGGCCCCUUCGACGAGUCGAGUUGUUUGGGAAUGCAGCUCAAAAUGGGUGGUAAAUUUCAUCUAAAGCUAAAUACCGGCCAGAGACCGAUAGCGCACAAGUAGAGUGAUCGAAAGAUGAAAAGCACUUUGGAAAGAGAGUUAAAAAGUACGUGAAAUUGUUGAAAGGGAAGCGCUUGCAACCAGACUUGCUCGCGGGUGAUCCACCGUCCCUCGGGGCGGUCUACUCUCCCGUGAUCAGGCCAACAUCGGUUUCGGUGGCUGGAUACAGGCUCCGGGAAUGUGGCUCCCUCCGGGGAGUGUUAUAGCCCGGGGUGCAAUGCAGCCCGCCGGGACCGAGGACCGCGCUUCGGCUUAGGAUGUUGGCGUAAU